AGUCUGAACCAGCCAAGUCGCGUGAGGGAAGACUGCCCUAUGGGUUGUAAACCUCUUUUAUAAGGGAAGAAUAAGUUCUACGUGUAGAAUGAUGCCUGUACCUUAUGAAUAAGCAUCGGCUAACUCCGUGCCAGCAGCCGCGGUAAUACGGAGGAUGCGAGCGUUAUCCGGAUUUAUUGGGUUUAAAGGGUGCGUAGGCGGUUUAUUAAGUUAGUGGUUAAAUAUUUGAGCUAAACUCAAUUGUGCCAUUAAUACUGGUAAACUGGAGUACAGACGAGGUAGGCGGAAUAAGUUAAGUAGCGGUGAAAUGCAUAGAUAUAACUUAGAACUCCGAUAGCGAAGGCAGCUUACCAGACUGUAACUGACGCUGAUGCACGAGAGCGUGGGUAGCGAACAGGAUUAGAUACCCUGGUAGUCCACGCCGUAAACGAUGCUCACUGGUUCUGUGCGAUAUAUUGUACGGGAUUAAGCGAAAGUAUUAAGUGAGCCACCUGGGGAGUACGUCGGCAACGAUGAAACUCAAAGGAAUUGACGGGGGCCCGCACAAGCGGAGGAACAUGUGGUUUAAUUCGAUGAUACGCGAGGAACCUUACCUGGGUUUAAAUGGGAAAUGUCGUAUUUGGAAACAGAUAUUCUCUUCGGAGCGUUUUUCAAGGUGCUGCAUGGUUGUCGUCAGCUCGUGCCGUGAGGUGUCGGGUUAAGUCCCAUAACGAGCGCAACCCUUACCGUUAGUUGCUAGCAUGUAAUGAUGAGGACUCUAACGGGACUGCCACCGUAAGGUGAGAGGAAGGCGGGGAUGACGUCAAAUCAGCACGG
Molecule: ribosomal RNA, 816 nt
Filed under: human gut metagenome
Description: bacterial SSU rRNA
Rfam family: Bacterial small subunit ribosomal RNA
Source: RNAcentral